CUACGGGUCGCAGCAGUGAGGAAUAUUGCACAAUGGGGGGAACCCUGAUGCAGCAACGCCGCGUGGAGGAUGACGCAUUUCGGUGUGUAAACUCCUUUUAUAUGUCAAGAAAAUGACGGUAGCAUAUGAAUAAGCACCGGCUAACUCCGUGCCAGCAGCCGCGGUAAUACGGAGGGUGCAAGCGUUACUCGGAAUCACUGGGCGUAAAGGACGCGUAGGCGGGUUGGAAAGUCAGGUGUGAAAUCCUACAGCUUAACUGUAGAACUGCACUUGAAACUUCUAAUCUAGAGUAGGGGAGGGGGAGAUGGAAUUAGUGGUGUAGGGGUACAAUCCGUAGAUAUCACUAGGAAUACCUAAAGCGAAGGCGAUCUCCUGGAACAUUACUGACGCUAAGGCGUGAAAGCGUGGGGAGCAAACAGGAUUAGAUACCCCCGUAGUC
This 439-nucleotide ribosomal RNA is filed under the name uncultured bacterium. Its description in RNAcentral is "partial 16S ribosomal RNA". It matches the Rfam family "Bacterial small subunit ribosomal RNA", at positions 339 to 795 of the family's 1533-position model. The record is from RNAcentral.